CGAGUGGGUUGGGCGGUCGCCGGCCACGCAGGUAGCCGGAGGAAAGUCCGAGCAGGACAGGGCAACGGUGGUGGCUAACGGCCACCGGGGGCGACCCCAGGGAAAGUGCCGCAGAAAACACACAGCCGAUGGUUUCGACUUGUCGGAACACAGGUAAAGGUGAAAAGGUGCGGUAAGAGCGCACCGCGGCGUCGGUGACGGCGCCGGCAGGGUAAACCCCACCGCCUGCAAGACCAAGCAGCUGGUUGGCUUUGGCCACACUUGGCCCGAGUGUGAGCGGCCGAAAUAGCCGCUCGAUCAGCGGGUAGGUCGCAUCCCGACGUGUCGGGAGAGCCGACUGGUAACAGUCGGUCAAGAUAAAUGGCCGUCACCCCGCACCAAAAGCUCAUCUGAAUAAUGAGCUGACGUCAUUCGCGAAACGGUGGCAUACGUGUCCCGGAGUAGAAAGAGGAUGAGCUCUUGGUGCGGGGAUACAGAACUCGGCUUAUAGACCCACUCGUUCC
This 503-nucleotide RNase P RNA is filed under the name Phycisphaerales bacterium. RNAcentral describes it as "RNase P RNA component class A". It matches the Rfam family "Bacterial RNase P class A". Rfam says of the family: Ribonuclease P (RNase P) is a ubiquitous endoribonuclease, found in archaea, bacteria and eukarya as well as chloroplasts and mitochondria. Its best characterised activity is the generation of mature 5'-ends of tRNAs by cleaving the 5'-leader elements of precursor-tRNAs. The record is from RNAcentral. Lineage: Bacteria; Pseudomonadati; Planctomycetota; Phycisphaerae; Phycisphaerales.